UAGGACACCAGCAUUAACCAUUCAGGUUCC
Molecule: non-coding RNA, 30 nt
Filed under: Mus musculus (house mouse)
Lineage: Eukaryota; Metazoa; Chordata; Mammalia; Rodentia; Muridae
Source: RNAcentral